GUCGUGGCUCAAUGGCAGAGCAACUGACUUGUAAUCAGUAGGUUGUAGGUUCGACUCCUAUCGACGG
This 67-nucleotide transfer RNA is filed under the name uncultured Mycoplasma sp. It matches the Rfam family "tRNA". Rfam says of the family: Transfer RNA (tRNA) molecules are approximately 80 nucleotides in length. Their secondary structure includes four short double-helical elements and three loops (D, anti-codon, and T loops). The record is from RNAcentral. Lineage: Bacteria; Bacillati; Mycoplasmatota; Mollicutes; Mycoplasmatales; Mycoplasmataceae.